Molecule: non-coding RNA, 932 nt
Organism: Cyprinus carpio (common carp)
Lineage: Eukaryota; Metazoa; Chordata; Actinopteri; Cypriniformes; Cyprinidae
Source: the annotation of a RefSeq genome assembly
CAGAUCAGACAUAGAGUGAGUUAUACUCUAGAAGAGAACUGCGAGUCUUGACUCUCAAAGUCAUUGUCUCUCAUUAGUGUAAAUGUUGCUCCUGGUGUUCUUUAUAUUUUCUCUUCUAAAAGAGAAUGAUGCUGCUGAUGUCAUAAAACCAGUCUUCACAGAGAAGCAGGUUUUGGCAGGAAAAAAUGUUACACUGAUCUGCAACUACACUGGAAAUGUUCAGAAUUUACAGUGGUACCGUCAAUAUCCUGGAUCCGAACCCGAGCACCUCAUUAUGUUCUUUGAAACCAGCCCUAAACCAGAGCCUGCUCUCCGUCUGACCGCUGCAGCUGAUAAAGAAGCCAAAAGUAUGAAUCUGACCAUCUCUUCUACAGAAGUGAAAGACUCUGCCAUGUACUACUGUGCCCUGGAGCCCACAGUGACAGGAAACACAACUAGACUGUACAAAAACUGAAUGAGAAAUAUAUUUACAGAAGAUGAUGAUGCACAAUAAAUAGUUUAAAACUAUACUCUUUAUAAAAUGGACACUCAACUGCUACAUAUUGGAAUAAAUUUUAAACACGUGUACAAGUGGUAGUGCAUCCUGAUUCUCAGAAAUAUUAAGACUACAUUUUAUGGAUAUGAAAAGCAACUUAAUGCUUGAAACUUUUGACAUCUGUACACUGCAAUUUUUGUAUAAUAUCAUAAAUUAGAGAGACAAAAUGUCAUUUUAGCUUGUAGACUACAGUUUAUUCAUGUACUGACCAUACAUGUAGGGUGAGAUGAGUGAGUAGGUAUGUGUGGGAGGAGCUCAAUGUGUUGUCAACUUCAGCAGAAGAACUCAAGAGGUUCAAUCUUAGUUUAGUUCUUGACUUUCAAAGUCACCGGCUCUCAUUAGUGUAGAUGUUGCUCCUCAUAUUCAUUAUAUUUUCUCUCCUAAAAGGUGAGUGAUU